AGGGCCUGAUGAGCACCGUGCCUCUCCCUGCAGAGGAGAUGGAUCGCAGCCAUUUCUGGGCAGCACAGAGAAGCCGAUGCAGAGAAAGGGUCUUGAAACCUGCGGUGCUCUGGGCAGCAUGCGCUGCUUAUCACGGUGCCUGGCAAGGCCAAGUCACGUCCACGCCAUUAAACAAGUGCAGCUGGACUAGGCCUGGCCCCCGGCCACACCUCCCUGGACUGGAUUCACUCACUCGCCCAUUCAGCAAACCUGCGAGAGUCAGCCCCAAACCACUCUGGAACCUGAGUUCACAGCCCGGGUCCAAAGAAAAAUUAAGAUGCUUCUUCCCACAAGUUCUCGCCCGGUCUCUGGGCCACGACUCCACACUCCACCGCCAGCCCAAGCAGGAUUUCCCGGGGGCCCAGGGCCCAGGGAACACCAACAGGGAAAAGCAUAACUGACCCAUUUCUGCAGGGUCUCACUGAGUUGCUUAGGGCCUCGCUAAGUUGCUGAGGCUGGCUUUGAACCUGAUCCUCCUGUCUCAGCCUCCCAAGCCACUGGGGAUGACAGGCGUGUGUCCCUGCCUGUGUCUUUCUUUCUGCUUUGCCACGGGGCCUGCCCUGAAAGUGCAGCAUUCUCAGGAGGACCCUGGAGGACUGCUCAGAAGGUCAGCCGGACAAGGGUUGACCGUGAAGCCUGCCCUGGUCGUCGGGAUCCCGCUGCCCAGGGAGCUGCCGCCCAUACUCUUGUUCUCAGGCCAGGCCCAGGGUGACCUGGACGCUGCAGAUGGCUGUGGGAGUUCCCCAGUGACAAAUGCAUUUCUCCAAUCGAAUGCACAGCCUCCCAGCAGGCGGUA
Molecule: long non-coding RNA, 835 nt
Organism: Marmota monax (woodchuck)
Lineage: Eukaryota; Metazoa; Chordata; Mammalia; Rodentia; Sciuridae
Exons: 3
Source: RefSeq, a predicted model, not a curated record